Spea bombifrons (plains spadefoot toad) is the source of this 465-nucleotide long non-coding RNA. RefSeq lists it as uncharacterized. NCBI's taxonomy places the organism in Eukaryota, Metazoa, Chordata, Amphibia, Anura, Pelobatidae. The transcript has 3 exons. The record is from RefSeq and is a predicted model, not a curated record.
GAAGAUCAGUACUGAAGUCAAUAGCAGUUGGUUGAGGGUUAAUCGAGCAAUCAACAAAGUCCAAGAGAACCCACAAACGGAGUGAGACAAAUGUGAAUUCCAAGCCCGAGCUGCUCUGCCAGCGACCGAAGAUGCCUUCCACAGCAGCGACACAACAAGGGGUUAACAACACUCCACAUUAACCUGCUACUGAAUCAAAUGCCCAGGGUGUCCAACAGCAGGAUGGAAGCGGAGACACCGAGGGGCCACACAGUUCAACAAAACGCCUCCUUCUUACAUAAAGUCUACAGCCCGGAUUUGAGUUCGCGCUACACUGCAAGAUUAUUCCGGAAGAAACGGACGAGCAGUUACUCCACCAUGACAAGUAUGAGUGUCUCUUUCCACACGUGUCACUGUCACUCUGUAACUCACACUUUGGCACUGCCUCUCACACUGUCAUUAACGAGUAUUCAUGUCACUCUUUCA